RNAcentral lists this ribosomal RNA (253 nucleotides) under uncultured bacterium. RNAcentral's name for it is "partial 16S ribosomal RNA". It matches the Rfam family "Bacterial small subunit ribosomal RNA", at positions 524 to 776 of the family's 1533-position model. The record is from RNAcentral.
UACAGAGGUCGCAAGCGUUAAUCGGAUUUACUGGGCGUAAAGCGUGUGUAGGUGGUUGUACAAGUCGGUUGUGAAAUCCCCGGGCUCAACCUGGGAACUGCUUCCGAGACUGUGCGACUAGAGAUCGGUAGAGGGCGGUGGAAUUUCCGGUGUAGCGGUGAAAUGCGUAGAUAUCGGAAGGAACACCAAUGGCGAAGGCAGCCGCCUGGGCCUGAUCUGACACUGAGACACGAAAGCGUGGGGAUCAAACAGG